AACCGCACACGCGACCGCUUCCGC
RNAcentral lists this non-coding RNA (24 nucleotides) under Arabidopsis thaliana (thale cress). Lineage: Eukaryota; Viridiplantae; Streptophyta; Magnoliopsida; Brassicales; Brassicaceae. The record is from RNAcentral.